GGGUAGGCGUUGAUCGUGAUUAGUAUACCCUCGACAUGGAUCUUGCUGCAUGAAAUCCACUUCGAUAAGAGAAGUAACAUGCUCCUCGGAUAACAUACCCAGGGUAGAGAGUAUUGCUCGUCUCUCUUGUCCAUCUUUUCCUCAUUGGAUAACUUGGACAUAUAGUAUUUUUGUGGAAAAAAUGGGACACAGCUUGAUUAAUUAUAAAUUAUGGAGGCUGUUUUUUUUCCCUUUCUUCAAGUACAUCAGUAGUUGUUGGAAUAAAAAAUGCACCUGAAGUCUAACAUGUACAUAUCGCUCUAAUUAAAAAAAAAAAAAUCUACUCUUAUGGUUGCCAUAGAGAACUAUGAUUUUUGAGCAUCCUCUCUCA
Molecule: long non-coding RNA, 370 nt
Filed under: Phoenix dactylifera (date palm)
Lineage: Eukaryota; Viridiplantae; Streptophyta; Magnoliopsida; Arecales; Arecaceae
Description: long non-coding RNA (PDAC_LNC001955)
Source: RNAcentral